Molecule: non-coding RNA, 125 nt
Organism: Hordeum vulgare subsp. vulgare (domesticated barley)
Lineage: Eukaryota; Viridiplantae; Streptophyta; Magnoliopsida; Poales; Poaceae
Source: Rfam
AAUAUACUCCUUCCGUCGGAAAAUACUUGUCAUUAGAAUGGGUGUAUCUAGAUGUAUUUUAGUUCUAGAUACAUCAUGUUUUAUUCAUUUGUGUGACAAGUAAUUCCAGACGGAGGGGGUAUUCU